This is a non-coding RNA of Pelodiscus sinensis (Chinese soft-shelled turtle), 550 nucleotides long. Lineage: Eukaryota; Metazoa; Chordata; Testudines; Trionychidae. The record is from RefSeq and is a predicted model, not a curated record.
CAGCCACAAGGGCUAGAAACGUCCCUUUUCUUUAACAGCAAAGGCAGAAAUCCUCACAGAUCACUUGAGUCCAGGACCUGGGCUCUCGGGAAACCGGUCACUCUGACAAGGCUCGUGACAGGGCCGUGAGAGCUGGGGCACUGCUGUCACUGCUGCUUCUGAGGCCGGGGACUGUCCAGGAGGCUCGCAGGCUGCACACGAUGGUGAUGGAGUUGCAGGCCUCACAGGAGACUGUUUCAUCCCAAACAGCAAGAGAACAAACUGAGCCGCCCAAGGGAGACCUGGGGUCUGCCCCACGGUCAAAGGCCCGGGAAUCUGUGUGGAGAUGUGCAACGGAGACGAGUCCUGUCCUCCAGGGCAAAAGUGCUGCAGUAACGGGUGUGGCCACGUCUGCAUGGGAGUGAUAACCAGAGGGAACCCCGGCUCUUGUCCACGGCCCAGUGUCCUGAGCGGCUGUGCGGUCAGGUGCCGUUCGGAUGUGCAGUGCUUCCGGACGCACAAGUGCUGCCGCACCAAGUGUGGUGGAUACGUCUGCACAAGAGCAGUCUGA